CUACGGAGGGUGCAAGCGUUACUCGGAAUCACUGGGCGUAAAGGGCGCGCAGGCGGUCUUUUAAGUUGGAUGUGAAAGCCUACGGCUCAACCGUAGAACUGCAUCCAAAACUAUUAGACUAGAGUGUGGGAGAGGAAGAUGGAAUUAGUUGUGUAGGGGUAAAAUCCGUAGAGAUAACUAGGAAUACCAAAAGCGAAGGCAAUCUUCUGGAACACUACUGACGCUGAGGCGCGAAAGCGUGGGGAGCAAACAGGAUUAGAAACCCUAGUAGUCC
Molecule: ribosomal RNA, 274 nt
Filed under: uncultured bacterium
Lineage: Bacteria
Description: partial 16S ribosomal RNA
Rfam family: Bacterial small subunit ribosomal RNA
Source: RNAcentral